CCAGGAAGGAGCCCAGGCUGUUUUCACCGUCUUCUGCAGGGACCUGCUGAGGGUUGGAUGCUGUGCCAGCAUGUGGGUCACCUGCUCACGAAACCCGGUGAUUGUGUGGGUCACCGCGGAGACACGAGAGAGCUGCACACCCGGCUGAAGAGCUGACAGGGACCCCGUGUGCCCUCCCUGCUCCUCCACGACUCCUCUCCUACCCUCAGGAAAAUCUCUUUGUGCCCUCAUCCAGGGCACUGAGGGCAAGGAACUGGCACUGCCAGUGGAGCGGGAAGUGAAAAGCUAUGCCCUGGCCGAUCAGUCCUCAAAGGAUCCCAGCUCUCAGAAUCUGAGGAAGAAGCUGCCUUCAGGGUGCUGCCCACAAAGGUCCAUCUAGUCAAAGCUAUGGUUCUUCCAUGUAUGGAUAUGAAAGUUGGACCAUAAAGAAGGCUGAACCCUGAAGAAUUGAUGCUUUCAAACUGUGGUUUUGGCGAAUACUCUUGAGAGUCCUUUGGACUGCAAGGAGAUCAAAUCAGUCAAUCCUAAAGGAAAUCAGCGGCUUCCCUGGUGGCUCAGGUGGUAAAGAGUCUGCCUGCAAUGUGGGAGACCUGGGUUCAAUCUCCAGGGAAGAUCCCCUGGAGAAGGAAAUGGCAACCCACUCCAGUAUUCUUGCUUGGAGAAUUCCGUGAACAGAGGAGCCUGGUUGGCUAGAGUCCACGGGUUCACAAAGAGUCGGACACAACUGAGUACUUUCAUUUUCACUUUCAAAGGAAAUCAAUCCUGAAUAUUCAUUGGAAGGACCGAUGCUGAAGCUGAAGCUCCAAUACUUUGGCGACCUGAUGUGAAGAGCUGACUCACUGGGAAAGAUCCUGAUGCUGGGAAAGAUUGAGGGCAGGAGGAGAAGGGGACAACAGGGGAUGAGAUGGUUGGAUGGCAUCACUGACUCAAUGGACAUGAGUCUGAGCAAACUCUGGGAGAUAGUGAAGGACAGGGAAACCUAGUGUGUUGCAAACCAUGGGUUGCAAAGAGUCAGACACAACGGAGCGACCGAACAACAGCAGUGUUUUUUGUAUAAUACAAUGUUGACAUGUUGGAAGGCCUCCCUUCAGGAAAUCACAAGCGGCAGUUUGAUCUUGAGCCGCCAGGUGGCACUAGUGCCCCGGCGCUGCCAGUAGGCAGGGCGCAAGGAUGCUUUGAGUCAGGCUUCGGUUCCCGGUCGGCUGCAGGCAGUGCCCUGGAAACCUGGAGCCUUUCCCUUUCACUCUCAGACCGAGCACCGGGGCUUAGAACAGAGAAAGUGGGAGACGUGGCAUGAUGCCACCAGACAAUGGCCUGAAGGAGAUAGCCAGAAAAUUGAUUAGCAUCAUUGGAACUCCCUUGGCAGCAACUUUGCAAAUUCUCUAAAGAUUCUGUGGAAGAACUGCCUUCCAGAAAUUAAAAAGACCAGAGCCCCAGUUGGAACCACCCAGCCCCCGGGCAGCCCCCGGGAGAUCUUCAGAACGUAAAGGUGGGGUCUUUCAUUGCAGGAGCUGAACUGAAGAAGGUGUUCCCUGGAGAACAGGACUUACAAGUUUAUCCAUCUGCUCGGAUUUAAUGGUGCUCCUUUCCGGUGAGUGAAGACUACAGCAUUUGUGUGGACAGAGGCACUAUUUUUUUUUUUUAAAGUUUUUAUUUAUGUUUAAAUUUGGUGGCUGUGCUAGGUCUUCGCUGCUUUUGCGUGGGUUUUCUCUAGUUACGGUGAGCACGGGCUACUCUUUGCUGCAUGCGUGUGCUUCUCACUGAG
Long non-coding RNA from Ovis aries (sheep), 1765 nucleotides. The record is from Ensembl. NCBI's taxonomy places the organism in Eukaryota, Metazoa, Chordata, Mammalia, Artiodactyla, Bovidae.